GAUGAAGAACGUAGCGAAAUGCGAUAAGUAAUGUGAAUUGCAGAAUUCAGUGAAUCAUCGAAUCUUUGAACGCACAUUGCGCCCGCCAGUAUUCUGGCGGGCAUGCCUGUUCGAGCGUCAUUUCAACCAUCAAGCCCCCGGGCUUGUGUUGGGGACCUGCGGCUGCCGCAGGCCCUGAAAACCAGUGGCGGGCUCGCUAGUCACUCCGAGCGUAGUAGUUACAUCUCGCUCAGGGCGUGCUGCGGGUUCCGGCCGUUAAAAGCCUUUUACCCCAAGGUUGACCUCGGAUCAGGCAGGAAGACCCGCUGAACUUAAGCAUAUCAAUAAGCGGAGGA
RNAcentral lists this unclassified non-coding RNA (335 nucleotides) under soil metagenome. RNAcentral describes it as "partial contains 5.8S ribosomal RNA, internal transcribed spacer 2, and large subunit ribosomal RNA". The stretch from base 1 to 120 matches the Rfam family "5.8S ribosomal RNA", at positions 35 to 154 of the family's 154-position model. The record is from RNAcentral.